This 253-nucleotide ribosomal RNA is filed under the name uncultured bacterium. Its description in RNAcentral is "partial 16S ribosomal RNA". It matches the Rfam family "Bacterial small subunit ribosomal RNA", at positions 524 to 776 of the family's 1533-position model. The record is from RNAcentral.
UACGGAGGGGGCUAGCGUUGUUCGGAAUUACUGGGCGUAAAGCGCGCGUAGGCGGACUUUUAAGUCGGGGGUGAAAUCCCGGGGCUCAACCCCGGAACUGCCUUCGAUACUGGAAGUCUGGAGUUCGAGAGAGGUGAGUGGAAUUCCGAGUGUAGAGGUGAAAUUCGUAGAUAUUCGGAGGAACACCAGUGGCGAAGGCGGCUCACUGGCGCGAUACUGACGCUGAGGUGCGAAAGCGUGGGGAGCAAACAGG